CCUAGGUUGUGGCGGCAAUGGGGUAAACAUAUUAUUUAGUCUUUAGGUUCAGCUGUUGUGUUGUGUGAGCAUCAAGUGUCUGAGUUGCAGAGUGUAUGUCUGUGUUGUGUGUGAGGUGAUCCGAGUUUUCAGACUUGUUCUUUGAUUAGGUUAGAUUGCCUGUGUCUCUGGCCCUCGGUAAUAUUCCAGAGGUGUACAGAGCUGGUGUGGACCAUGGUCAGUUGCCAUAGGAGUGUUUUUUCCUUGCACUUUGGGUUUAUAGAGCUUUCUCCUAGAUGUCAGAAGUAUCAUGGAUCUUUCAUGACAAAAGUAAUAUGAAACAUAAAGAAAAGUAAUUUGGAACCGAAAAAAAG
Pelobates cultripes (western spadefoot toad) is the source of this 353-nucleotide non-coding RNA. NCBI's taxonomy places the organism in Eukaryota, Metazoa, Chordata, Amphibia, Anura, Pelobatidae. The record is from the annotation of a GenBank genome assembly.